This 422-nucleotide ribosomal RNA is filed under the name uncultured bacterium. RNAcentral describes it as "bacterial SSU rRNA". It matches the Rfam family "Bacterial small subunit ribosomal RNA", at positions 355 to 774 of the family's 1533-position model. The record is from RNAcentral.
UGAGGAAUAUUGGGCAAUGCCCGCAAGGGUGACCCAGCAACGCCGCGUGGAGGAUGAAUGUCGUAAGAUUGUAAACUCCUGUUAGAGGGGAAGAAUAGUACCGGUUGGACCGGUAUAUGACUGUACCCUCAGAGAAAGCCCCGGCUAACUACGUGCCAGCAGCCGCGGUAAUACGUAGGGGGCAAGCGUUGUCCGGAUUUACUGGGUGUAAAGGGCGCGCAGGCGGGAUAAAAAGUCAGUGGUGAAAUCCUACAGCUUAACUGUAGAACUGCCUUUGAUACUUUUAUUCUUUAGUUCGGGAGAGAGAGACGGAAUUCCAGGUGUAGUGGUGAAAUACGUAGAUAUCUGGAAGAACACCAGUUGCGAAGGCGGUCUCUUGGUCCGACACUGACGCUGAGGCGCGAAAGCGUGGGGAGCAAACA